This 433-nucleotide ribosomal RNA is filed under the name uncultured bacterium. RNAcentral's name for it is "partial 16S ribosomal RNA". It matches the Rfam family "Bacterial small subunit ribosomal RNA", at positions 29 to 507 of the family's 1533-position model. The record is from RNAcentral.
AGCGAACGCUGGCGGCAGGCCUAACACAUGCAAGUCGAACGAACUCUUCGGAGUUAGUGGCGGACGGGUGAGUAACACGUGGGAACGUGCCUUUUGGUUCGGAAUAACUCAGGGAAACUUGGGCUAAUACCGAAUGUGCCCUUCGGGGGAAAGAUUUAUCGCCAUUAGAGCGGCCCGCGUCUGAUUAGGUAGUUGGUGAGGUAACGGCUCACCAAGGCGCCGAUCAGCAGCUGGUCUGAGAGGAUGCCCAGCCACACGGGGACUGAGAGACGGCCCAGACUCCUACGGGAGGCAGCAGUGGGGAAUCUUGCGCAAUGGGCGAGAGCCUGACGCAGCCAUGCCGCGUGAAUGAUGAAGGUCUUAGGAUUGUAAAAUUCUUUCGCCGGGGACGAUAAUGACGGUACCCGGAGAAGAAGCCCCGGCUAACUUCGUG